GAUGAACGCUGGCGGCGUGCCUAAUACAUGCAAGUCGAGCGAACGGACGAGAAGCUUGCUUCUCUGAUGUUAGCGGGGACGGGUGAGUAACACGUGGAUAACCUACCUAUAAGACUGGGAUAACUUCGGGAAACCGUAGCUAAUACCGGAUAAUAUUUUGAACCGCAUGGUUCAAAAGUGAAAGACGGUCUUGCUGUCACUUAUAGAUGGAUCCGCGCUGCAUUAGCUAGUUGGUAAGGUAACGGCUUACCAAGGCAACGAUGCAUAGCCGACCUGAGAGGGUGAUCGGCCACACUGGAACUGAGACACGGUCCAGACUCCUACGGGAGGCAGCAGUAGGGAAUCUUCCGCAAUGGGCGAAAGCCUGACGGAGCAACGCCGCGUGAGUGAUGAAGGUCUUCGGAUCGUAAAACUCUGUUAUUAGGGAAGAACAUAUGUGUAAGUAACUGUGCACAUCUUGACGGUACCUAAUCAGAAAGCCACGGCUAACUACGUG
This 496-nucleotide ribosomal RNA is filed under the name uncultured bacterium. Its description in RNAcentral is "partial 16S ribosomal RNA". It matches the Rfam family "Bacterial small subunit ribosomal RNA", at positions 28 to 507 of the family's 1533-position model. The record is from RNAcentral.